RNAcentral lists this non-coding RNA (29 nucleotides) under Mus musculus (house mouse). Lineage: Eukaryota; Metazoa; Chordata; Mammalia; Rodentia; Muridae. The record is from RNAcentral.
UAGUUUGAAAUGAACUAAGAUGGGGGACA